CGAGUGUGAGCAUGCCUGUCGGGACC
This 26-nucleotide small nuclear RNA is filed under the name Arabidopsis thaliana (thale cress). Its description in RNAcentral is "snRNA_19260". Lineage: Eukaryota; Viridiplantae; Streptophyta; Magnoliopsida; Brassicales; Brassicaceae. The record is from RNAcentral.